RNAcentral lists this ribosomal RNA (702 nucleotides) under Triticum aestivum (bread wheat). RNAcentral's name for it is "partial small subunit ribosomal RNA". The record is from RNAcentral. Lineage: Eukaryota; Viridiplantae; Streptophyta; Magnoliopsida; Poales; Poaceae.
AUGCGGACUCAAGGCAUUUUCGGGAGAACAUACGGUUCUUCAACGGCCACUUCUCCUUCACAACCCUCGGCGUCACGCCUCGAUGAAAGCUACACAAACAUGAAGUCUGGGGUGUACACGUUCCGGGCGCAUGGCACCAUCUACCACAACGUUCAUUCCUUCGGGCCAACGUCCCGUACAGAGCAUCUACAGUUGUACUUCUACGACGACGACCCAGGCCUAACCCAUGGCAAGGCUGCCACCGAGCAAUUAGACCAGGAUGUCGUCAGAAAGUUAGUGGACAUACUCAAGGAAAACCCAUACUCCCAGCAGUUCAGGAGUUUGGGUGCGCAUAGGGACAACCUCGACGAUUACAGGAUAGACCUCAACACUGACCAGAGACUAGACCAACGGAAGUAUAAUAGACCUCUGUCAUCUGAGGUCGCUGCAAUUUGGGUGGAGGGCACUGACCUAGCGAAGAGGUUUGAUCGUAGGAUUACACUUUGCGGGAAUGACAACCAGAGGCACAGUAUACAUGUGACGGCUGGCUCAUAUGACCCACUCUCUUACCCACUCUUCUACCCAAGGGGGGAGCUCGGUUGGCACCCGAAACUACCUAAACGUGACGUCCCUUGGCCGGUUGUGCAACAACCAAGAGGUAGACGUGAUGAUGAUGAUGAUGAGGAUGAUGCAGGUAAGCCUUAUGUGUAUUCUGUCGUUUAG